UGUCUUAGUUUGAAAUUUGACAUACAAAAUAGUCAAUACUAGAAUCGAUCUUUUGACAAAAUUUAAUUUGAUUUUUUUUAAAGUUUCAGUAGAAAGAAAGUAAUGAAUGAUGGGAUUAGACACUUCUUUGAGCUGUUGUAUAUCAAAAAAUAGGAGUUGUGUAUGUUGGCAGUGGAGUAAGGGUGGAGACAAUGAGCCAGAUUCUGCUCUGAUUUAAACUACUGUAAAUCCAGAGAAACACCCUGUUUUAAUGGAUUUUUCUUCAGAUUUACAAUGAGGUAACUGCUAGCAGAAUUUCACCCCUACUGUACAUUUUAAAAGUGGCUAUUGAAUAUGUGCAUUUUCCACUUUGCAGAAGAAUUUUACUACAGCUAAAUAAUACAGAUCUACAUCUUAAGAUGAAUGUUCUGAACAUACCGUAAUGGUGACAUAUGGUUGUAUGCAUAUUAAUAGUAUUGGAACUAUAUUAUUCUUGGGAAAUAAACUAUAAUUGGCCCAAUGGCAUUUUAUAUUUAAAGCAGCCAAUAGUAUGUACUUUAAUUUUGUAUUAACAGCAAGACAAUUGUGAGCUAAUCUAUCUUGUGAACUCUUAAAUACUUUCUUGAUACUUUUAUUCUUUUCUUUUUUAGGGCCUUAAUCUGCAAACACUUAUACACAUGCUUAGCUUUAUUCAUAUGAGUAUGGGAUGACUCACGUGAGUAAAGAUACUUCAGUAUUUGCAAGAUCAGGCCCUUAAACACUGCUUAAUAAAAGAACAAAAUUCCCUUAAUUUAAUAUUUAUGCUAGGACUGACUUUUCAAAACAGGGAUCCAAUCCAACUCUUCCCAGGCAAACUCUCACUGGGAGUUUUGUGCAAGUGAUAUCUGCAAGAUUGGCCUAAAUAGCACCUACUUAACUGUACAUACACCAAUUGUCCAUGCAAAAUUGGCUUUCCUUUGUGCAAAAGGGGUAAUUGUUUAUGUAAAUGAUUCAGACUUUGUGUGUAUGUGCGCAAGCGCGCCCAUGUGUGAGAGGUGCAGUUUAUGGGCCUGAUUUUCAGCAGUAGCUGAGUAGCCAUAUCAAUUGACAUUGAUGGAAAUUUUUUAUUCUAGAAAUCAGGCUCUAUUUGAGCAGGUUUGGACAAUAAUGUAGUAAAGUCUGAGAUUUAUCAAACAGAGCUUCGUCUGAAAUUCCUUUCUUUCUCUCUGUUGUCCCAGGAGCACAGGGGUCUCCAAAUGGGAGGUAACUACUCAGCUCUAAUGCAGUAAAAUCACUCAUACUUCGGAGACUCCUUAAGCUACCACAGCAAAAACAGGGACCUCAGUUCAACAUCAAGCUGCUGGAACUCUGACCCCUCUGCACACCUGUGAUGAGCAGAGGCAUCGCCGGGAACCCCUAGAUGAAUGAAUCCUGACUGGCCAGCAGGAGAAAUAUGUCUGUAUAUUGGGAGUGACCUCAGGCCUUGCCCUAGGCCCGUGCACACUCGCUCUCUCCCUCCUAUACCCUUAUCAUCAAGCUUCCAGUGGCCUAGCAGAGGGAGCAGUAAGGACUUUUAACGAGGGGAUGAAGAUGAUGGAAGCUUGGAAACAAAGCUGGGUUGCUUCCUUUAGCAAUACAAAACCACUCCUCAAACUACAACAGGCAUUAGCUCAUCCCAUUGUUUGAUGGGGAGGAAGAUAAGAAUUCAUUUGGACUCAAUCCAUCACAGCAUGGGGGGAAGUGUUGAGGAAGCAAGCUUUUCAAAAACAUAACCUUGACAGAGCUUGACCCAACGGACCUAUACCAAAAGUUUCAGCACUCCGCAGCCACUGGGGAUUCAGCCCACAGGAAGGAGGAGGCUCAUGAGGCAGCAGCUGACUUGCAAGCCCAUGGAAACUGCUGAAAGUGAGCAACAUCCAGAGGCACGGUCUUUGGCACAGCCCUGGGACGUUCUGGAAAGUUCCUGCUAUCCAGGCCUCUGACAGCCAUGAAUCCUGCUGUCAUUCUGUGAAAGGACCAACCUCACUUUUAUCCUUCAAAGGUUUAGGUGGAAACUCCUUGACUUGAAACUCAUGGAGGUUCGCAAUCUCCUACCCUGCAAAAGGGAUGAUCUGGCUGAGCUGUGAGCAGUAACUUUCGCAAUACCAAGAUGUGCCCUUGAGGGUCAGCUCCUACACACUGGUGGAGUGACUCUGUCAGAUAAGGAGGUGAACAAGGAGGAGUAAGGAGGACCUGUUUCCAAAAGUGCUUCAAUUGUCUGUCUGAUCAUGUGGCUAGCAAGUACAGAGCAGGGAGUGAGAAAAACUACAAUGGAUAGUCAGGAGAGGAUUAAGGGGCAGGAGAGAUGAUAAAGCUCAUGGAGGACACAUCAGAGAUGCUCAGGUCCCUGACUGCACUACAGUCGGAACAUAUCCCUACUUGACUCCUCCUACAACCCAUACAGACCUGCGUUCCAUACCCUCCAUUCCACACAUGUUCCUGACCUGUUGCAGUACCCCCUGUACUCUAUCCCUAGAGACAUGUUCCAUAAUGACAGCUGGAUUAACACACAGCUGU
Molecule: long non-coding RNA, 2514 nt
Organism: Mauremys reevesii (Reeves's turtle)
Lineage: Eukaryota; Metazoa; Chordata; Testudines; Geoemydidae
Exons: 5
Source: RefSeq, a predicted model, not a curated record